CCUACGGGAGGCAGCAGUGGGGAAUUUUGGACAAUGGACGCAAGUCUGAUCCAGCCAUGCCGCGUGCGGGAAGAAGGCCUUCGGGUUGUAAACCGCUUUUGUCAGGGAAGAAAAGGUUCUGGUUAAUACCUGGGACUCAUGACGGUACCUGAAGAAUAAGCACCGGCUAACUACGUGCCAGCAGCCGCGGUAAUACGUAGGGUGCAAGCGUUAAUCGGAAUUACUGGGCGUAAAGCGUGCGCAGGCGGUUAUGCAAGACAGAGGUGAAAUCCCCGGGCUCAACCUGGGAACUGCCUUUGUGACUGCAUAGCUAGAGUACGGUAGAGGGGGAUGGGAAUUCCGCGUGUAGCAGUGAAAUGCGUAGAUAUGCGGAGGAACACCGAUGGCGAGGGCAAUCCCCUGGAACCUGUACUGACGCUCAUGCACGAAAGCGUGGGGAGCGAAACAGGAUUAGGUACCCUGGUAGUCCCACGCCUAACGAUAGUCACUGUUGUUGGUAGGGUUCGUUCUUCUAGUACGUAGUACGUACGCGUGUAGU
RNAcentral lists this ribosomal RNA (538 nucleotides) under uncultured bacterium. Its description in RNAcentral is "bacterial SSU rRNA". It matches the Rfam family "Bacterial small subunit ribosomal RNA", at positions 338 to 865 of the family's 1533-position model. The record is from RNAcentral.